AAGAAGGGGCCAGUGUAGACGUAGCCUGUGUGAUUUGGUUUUCGUUUUUGUUUUGCUUUGCUUUUGGACAUUGUACAUCACCCUUCUGUUGCUGCCUUCUGUGUAACCCUAAUGUUAUAAUACCUUUUUGUUCCUGAAUAUGGCAAAAUCCUAAGACUAUAUACUGAUGGAUAGCAUAUAUUUGUUUGUAUUCGUAAUGUAGGGGUGUUUAAUACUUGGGAGAUAUGCAAAAUAAUAUUAAAUUAUGUUGUUUUAAAAGGAACACUUUACUUCAGAGGUGUAAAUAGGUACUUGAAGUUGUGGAAACUGUAUACCAGUAUAUGUUUAAGACCAGUAUAUUAUUUAAGAAAGCAGGAGCCUGACUUUUCUCUGUAUUUUACAGAUGUCAGCUAUGCUGAGGGCCACAUGUCUCCUAUAUUGAAGUCUAGCUCCACGACUACAUUUUGCUUCACUGAGAACUUAAUCUUUUCCUGUAUUUUACAGUAUUGUAUGUUGUUGAGGUGCAUAUAUCUGCUACUCUUCAUAUUAAAGCAAUAGUUUAUUUUAAACCCUUCAAACUGACCUCUUGGCAUCAUAUUAUUGUUUUAGUUUUGCUGCUUCUGCUCACUUUACAAUGGUUUAUUGCUCAGCUUUGAACUGUCAAAAUGCUACAAGUGGCGUAUAUAAGAACAAUACAGUUACUUUCUAUGGUUUUCCUUUGCAUAACAAACCUCUUUUGAAGCAGUGGAUUCACAAUAUGGGUCGGGAAAUGGGAACUCCGUCAAAACACCAACGACUAUGUUCUAAACAUUUUGAGGACAGUUCCUUUGAAAUUGAUCCUCUAAAAAUUAGAAAAAACCGACGCCUACUGAAAGAAGCAGUUCCCAAAAAAUUUAUUUUGGGUGAAGAUGGAAAUUGGCUUGUUGGAACACCUCAAAGUUUCUGUGGUGGAAUAAGUAAUAAAACUCGAAAACGAAUCCGGAAUCCUGAAAAUUUGAAGGUCCCAGGGACUUUUGAUACUGUUGCAGCUCCUGAAGGGAAGAAUUUAGAAGAGUGGCAAAAAGAGCUUUACAAAAAAGUGAUAAAGGACAAUUAUGAAUCUUUAAUCUCUCUGGGUAACGGUCAAAGCCACUGCCUUUAACAGAUAUUCCUGAAAACAGUGAUUUUGACACACACAAAUAGGUAGGCCAAAAAUCUCAUAAGCUGAAAAUAUAAACAGGCUCAAAAAUGGACACCUUUAACACUGUUGCUUCUGCUCCGUUUAUCUACUACCUCUGCAAUGUAAGUAUCUUAGUGUCAGAUAAUGUGACAUUCUUUGAAGUUGAAAAAUAUCUGUUAAGAUAUUAUGGGCAUUUUUUUUAAUUUUCUGUCCAAACUAUUCAGUCUCCAAACAUGAUAUUCAGUCAAGAGAAGAGCUACAUAUCAAGGCUCGGCAGGGCUUGGAGAAAAGAGAAAUGUCUGUGAAUCCUAGCAUAGAGGAUAAUGGGAUUGUGAUCAAAACUGAAGUGCAGAAUAAUGAGGACGCUCCAGAAAAUAUGGAAUUGCAUAGAUCAUUUUCAAGCUCAGAAGACCUGGUUUUCCAAACUUCUGACAGGGGAAUGACUUGUGAGAGUCGUUGGAGAACAGAAACAGAGCCAGGGAAUCUUACUGGAAACAGAAUGGGUAACACUACUUCGGAUGAAGGAGAUGGCAGUAAAUUCAGAGAGAUCCUUUUCUAUCAGGAAACACCCAUAGGAGAGAGACUAUACCUAUGUACAGAAUGUAAGAAAACUUUUAAGUUGAAGAUAGGCCUUCUAAAACACAAGCGAAUUCAUGCAAAAAAGAGUCCAGUAUCAUCAUACAUAUGUACAGACUGUGGAAAAAGCUUUGGUCGCCAUGCCGAUCUUAUUCGACACCAGAGAACUCAUACAGGAGAGAGACCUUAUAAAUGUACAGAAUGCCAGAAAAGCUUUACUGAGAAACCAAGACUUACUAAUCACUUACGAACUCACAACAUCUGCAUAUAACUACUGUGGCAAAAAUUUUAUGAGAACUGAUUUUCCACUCAGUCACCAUCAAACCCAUCUGAGAAUAUGGACCACACACACUUUACUGACUGGAGGAAAAGCUUUUGUUUAAGAAGACAUUUAUCACACUGAAUUCAACUCAAGCAUGUGUUGGACCUAUCCUUGUAGCUCCUCUGUUUAAACCUUGAGUAUCAAUUGAAUUUAUGAGCUAUCAAUGAUUCAUGCAGGGAGGAACAGACAUAUAAAAGAACAUUGACUAUACCAAAAAUACAUUUAAAAAAACAUUCUAAAAUAUCAACUCACCUAUAUUAGAGAGAGACUGUUUCAUUGCAGGAAAUGGAGAUUUUUGACAUGUGGAAUCUUUGACCACUUCACCAGGGACAGAGCAUGGUCAUUCACAGAAUUUUUGAUAGAAGUUAGAGCUUCAAAGAGCUCUAGAUCACAUUUAGAGAUUGGGCUUCUUUAGUAAUUGGGGGAUGGAUAGCUCAGUGGUUCGAGCAUUAGCAUGCUAACCCCAGGGUUGUAAGUUCAAUCCUUGAGGGGGCCAUUUAGGGAUCUGGGGCAAAUCUGUCAGGGAUGGUACUUAGUC
This is a non-coding RNA of Pelodiscus sinensis (Chinese soft-shelled turtle), 2574 nucleotides long. The record is from RefSeq and is a predicted model, not a curated record. Lineage: Eukaryota; Metazoa; Chordata; Testudines; Trionychidae.